RNAcentral lists this ribosomal RNA (253 nucleotides) under uncultured bacterium. Its description in RNAcentral is "partial 16S ribosomal RNA". It matches the Rfam family "Bacterial small subunit ribosomal RNA", at positions 524 to 776 of the family's 1533-position model. The record is from RNAcentral.
UACGGAGGGUGCAAGCGUUAUCCGGAUUUACUGGGUUUAAAGGGUGCGUAGGUGGGUUGGUAAGUCAGUGGUGAAAUACUUUCGCUUAACGAAGGAACUGCCAUUGAUACUAUCAAUCUUGAAUGUAGUGGAGGUAGGCGGAAUGCGUCAUGUAGCGGUGAAAUGCUUAGAUAUGACGCAGAACACCAAUGGCGAAGGCAGCCUUCUGGGCCAACACUGACGCUCAUGCACGAAAGCGUGGGGAGCAAACAGG